Long non-coding RNA from Xiphophorus hellerii (green swordtail), 2530 nucleotides. RefSeq lists it as uncharacterized. The record is from RefSeq and is a predicted model, not a curated record. The transcript is spliced from 3 exons. Lineage: Eukaryota; Metazoa; Chordata; Actinopteri; Cyprinodontiformes; Poeciliidae.
AUGUUUCAACAUUAAAUUUUAUCACUAAAAGAGUCUUCCUCUUCCUCCUCCUCCUCCAAACAAAACCUGAUAUUCCUCCUUCUUCUUUCUGCUUACAAACAUAUGAAGCUGGGUGGAGCCAACAUCUGCUGAAAGUGGAAGCUGAUUGGCUGCUGCCACUCUACACUGACAGAUGGGCCAGGGGCCGAUGCUGAGAACAUCUGAGAGCAUUCAGUGCAAACUGUUGGAGAGCAGCCUGGAAACCCGGGCAGGGAAGUCUGAGGGCUUGGAGAGCAGAUUGGAGCUUUCACCUGUGAGUUCAUGCUCUGGGAACCUGCAUGUGGCUUGGAUCCGCCUUCGCAGCGUGGCAGUGGUCUGGAAUGCUGCGACUGAAGCAACCUGGGGGGUUACUCACUUCCAGGUUUGGUUGACCACUUGGUGGCGCUGCUUGCCAGCCUUUAAAAUAAAAAUCUGACAGUCUGUAACAAAGGUGCCAAUAACUGGGUGAAAUCAGACCCUACCUCUGGGAGUUACACCUACUUCCUGUUUAGUGGCGAAGGUGUGAAGAGAGGAUGAUGACACAAAACAAACAACUUCCUGUUAGGUUCCGAUAAUCGUAUAGGGGUUAAAUUAAACUUUGAAAAUUAAAAAAAAAUUGGCUUAGAUAAUUAAUAUUUCAGUUUAGAUACGUCUAAUAAGGCUCUUGACAUAAUUUUCACACCAGAUGCUGGACUCGUCACACCGGUCUCAUUUAACAGAUUUUCUUCCAGGAUUAUCCUGUAUUUAGUUCCAUCCAUCUUCCCAUCAACUCUGACCCAAAUCCAAGGCCAUGUUGAAGAAACAUCUCCAUAACAUGAUACAGCCACCACCAUGUUUUACCUUAGGGAUGAUAUGCUUAAGGCAGUGGUCUCAAACUCCAGUCCUCAACAGCCGGUGUCCAGCAACGUAGAUGUCCGUUUCAGCACACCUGACUCCAAUAUUAGCUCAGAGCUCUGUAGAGCUUUACUGCAUGCUGGUGAGGGAGCUUCACCAUUUCUUUAGAACAAGGCACAUAUCUAAAAGUUGCAGGACUCCGGCCCUUCAGGAACGUCCACUGCUUUACAGUGACGUACAGCUCUGGUUAUCUACCAAACCAUCUCCUUCCAGAUGCUUGGAGUGUCCUCUGUAUGAAUUGUCAUAGACUGCAAAUGAGAGUCUUAGGCCCCAAAUGCAAUUGUUUUCAUCUCGCUCCUGUUCCAUGAAGACCAGAUUAGUGUGAAGUACACAAUUGAUUCUCCCACUUGAGUUGUGGAUUAUUGCAGUUCCUAAAGUUGCCACAGGCCUUUCAGCUUCCUAAUCAUUCAGCUAAAUCCUUUCGUAUUCCUUCAAACAUAGUGGCCUUUGUGAGGGGAGUAGCAGUCCUCAGAGGAGCUUACUAUUGAAAGUGAAUUACCCAAGUAAGCUGGUGUAGUUAUAAUCAUAGCCACAAGGAGGAGACAAAGGCCCAGCAGUCCUCGUCAGGCGUCAGCUGGCUCUGCGUGAUCAGCCGUCUCCAUGUUUCUGCUUUGUGCUGCUCACUGUAAGAGGACUGUGUGCAGUCAGAGGCACCGGAAACAGAUCAACUACCAAGUAUUGGCAACUCAAAUUUGAUAUCGCUGUGAUAAAGUGAAACAAUCUACAGCUGGUUUAAAAUUAGCUAGAGGAGGGGAAGACUGAGCCUGUAGAACCCAGACCCUGAGGAAACCAUUGCUGGAUGUUGCAAGAUGAGCAACAUGACUUCUUACUUCAAGUUUUGAAAGAUUGUUUCAAUAUUAAUUCCACCGACUUGAAAGUUGUAGGCCGUUUAUCAACCAGAUUUAAUUUGAGUUACCAAAUUUAAAUCUGGCAUCUUAAACUGAUUCUGGACAGAAUCAAAGGAUGGAAGGAGAUUUUGACACCUAAAUUGAGGGUAAAAUUCUAAUCAUCCAUUCCAGUUUUGAGUUUUCUUGAAUCAUAGCAACAAUUGUGGGGCCACAGUUGUCUUUAAAAACAUUGUUUUAUAAGACAACUGUCACAUCAGAUAUCUUCCCCAUAACUGAGAACAUUAUUUUCCUCUAUUAAACACUCCAUCCUUUUUUAAAAUUAUUUUUUAGCAUUCACUAUAAGCAUCAUGUUACAGAAUGGCAUUACCAUUUUAUUCAGUUUGUCUAUGUUAACAUCUGUCCAUAUCAAAUAACCCUAAAUCAGUUGAAUUCAACUAAAUCAGACCAGAAUUUUCUGAAAGACAAAAUUUGGAGAAUUAUCCAUAUGAAAAACAGAAACGUACUCAAAAACUGUAAUAGAUCUAUGAGUUUGUGGCUCAUAGACAAAGAAUUAAAAAGUGUAAUCGAACCCAAACGGGAAAAAGUUUUGGCCACACCACCACCUAACAGGGUGGAAGCAGUUUAUACUUAAUAAGAAACAACACAGACUGCAUUGAUAUCAAACUUCAUCUCUUUAUUUCUCUAUUGGUUGGUUCUCAUCACAAACAAUGUUGAAAAUCCAGAACAGGAUGUGUAUAAACUGUACAUGGAGCAAGGCACUGUCCACUGAA